Molecule: long non-coding RNA, 239 nt
Filed under: Gossypium barbadense (sea-island cotton)
Lineage: Eukaryota; Viridiplantae; Streptophyta; Magnoliopsida; Malvales; Malvaceae
Description: long non-coding RNA (GBAR_LNC009313)
Source: RNAcentral
GCCUGGCGGAAGUUUUGAUUGGAAAGGUGGUGUUGGAGGGUGUCAAAGGAGAUAGCUUGGGAAGUAGUUGUGGAUGUGGUGGAAGAAGGAUGAGAGAAGGUGGUGGUAGAGGAGAGAGAGGAAAGAGUGUUUGUGGUGGAGGUGGAGGAGGAGGGGGGUUUGAGGAAGAAGGAGGAGGGUGGAGGAGGAGGAGGGGUGGAGAGGCGUUUGAAGGAAGAGGAAUGGUGGUGGUGGUGAAG